GCUGGGUGCAGUGGUGCAUGCCUAUAGUCCCAGCUACUUGGGAGGCUGAGGUGGGAGGAUCACUUGAGCCCAGGAGUUUGAGGCUAUAGUGAGCUAUGAUUGCGUCUGUGAAUAGCCACUGUGGUCCAGCCUGAGCAAAGUAGCGAGACCCUGUCUCUA
This is an unclassified non-coding RNA of Pongo abelii (Sumatran orangutan), 159 nucleotides long. It matches the Rfam family "Metazoan signal recognition particle RNA". Rfam says of the family: The signal recognition particle (SRP) is a universally conserved ribonucleoprotein. NCBI's taxonomy places the organism in Eukaryota, Metazoa, Chordata, Mammalia, Primates, Hominidae. The record is from Ensembl.